This is a long non-coding RNA of Carassius gibelio (silver crucian carp), 1421 nucleotides long. RefSeq lists it as uncharacterized. NCBI's taxonomy places the organism in Eukaryota, Metazoa, Chordata, Actinopteri, Cypriniformes, Cyprinidae. The record is from RefSeq and is a predicted model, not a curated record. The transcript has 7 exons.
ACUUCUAGUGGUAUCUACUGGACACCAGUAGAAACCAUUAUGACUCCAAUAAAUUUAGUGGUUUCUUUGGAAAACUGUAAUGGUCUUAGUGGGUAGGCUACUGCUGAAAAAAAAUGAACACACAAACAAUAGAAACUAUUACAAAAUUUGCGGCAGCCCAACCGUCAAGCAGCUGAUCGCUGACACUCAAUGUGGUUUCACUUUUUUUUUAGGUAAGUUUAGUCUAUUAAAUUACACAAAUAGUACAUUAAAGUGUUCCUGACACUUUAUUUCAUGUAAAUUAUACACUUUCGUUUAAUAUUUACUUUAUAGAAAUGGUUUAGCGUCGUCAGAAAAAGUCCGUUAGCAUCUCAAAGAAGUGGCAGAAAAAAACCUCUAUGACGCAGGAGAAGUUCCUGAUUUUAACAUUUCUGAAGGGAGCUGCUGACAGAGAGGAUGAAAACAUACACAUUUUGAUGUCCACGCUGUAGGAGCAUUACUAAAUAAUGCUUAUGUUCCUAGGUUCUUCCAUGCUGAUGGCUGUGCUCUAGAGUCAUAUCUCCUGUCGAAGAACAUUUUUAGACAUUAUGAACCAUGAAUAAGUUUAGCUCCAACCCCAGUUAAGCAGACCUAAGCAGCUGAUCAAGGAUCAGCAGAAACUCUGCAGAACAUUGGUCCUCCAGCCCAGGACUGGACACCAGUGUUAGUGUCUGUCUCAGAAGCUGAAGAAAAAAGGUCACACCUUAUAGGAAAUAAACGCCUCCUAAGUGUACGGAAAUACCUGGAUGAGGAGAUCAGUGACAUAAACCAGAUAAAACUGUCAGUGGUCUGAGACAGCUACAAGCCACAAAAACAGUUCAUAGUUCCUGCAUUUCUAUAAUGCAUUAAUGAAUAACAAUAAUUAAAAUAAAAUGUAAUGUCAAGGUUUUGUGUUAAUUCCAGCUAUGUUGAGUAUUCUGUGAAUAAUUUUGAUUUUAGGUGCAUAUUCUUAAUUCUUUGCAAAACAACCUGAACUGUUUGCUAUUGAAAGGUUGGUAUGAAGUUUAAAUAAAUAAAAACAUUAUAUUCUUGACAAAACCUGUGUACAGUUUGUAUUAAUAAUUUAAAUUAUUUACUUAUAUUAAUUAAUGGCCUAAUUACCAGCUAUCAGUUAAACAUUCAAAUCAGAACCAAUAUAAAAGUGCAACGAAAACUAUUAAAUAUAUGCAAAUAAAGACCAGUACAAACUUGCAAUGGAACCAUCAGAACCAUUACAAAACUGACGGAAACCAUUAAAUUUGUUUUAAUAAAGACCAAUACAAACUUGUAAUGGAACCAUCAGAACCAUUACAAAACCAACAGAAACCAUUAAAUUUGUUUUAAUAAAGACCAAUACAAACUUGUAAUGGAACCAUCAGAACCAUUACAAAACCAACAGAAACCAUUAAAUUUGUUUUAAUAAA